Molecule: ribosomal RNA, 440 nt
Filed under: uncultured bacterium
Lineage: Bacteria
Description: partial 16S ribosomal RNA
Rfam family: Bacterial small subunit ribosomal RNA
Source: RNAcentral
CCUACGGGAGACAGCAGUGGGGAAUAUUGCACAAUGGGGGAAACCCUGAUGCAGCGACGCCGCGUGAGCGAUGAAGUAUUUCGGUAUGUAAAGCUCUAUCAGCAGGGAAGAAAAUGACGGUACCUGUCUAAGAAGCCCGGGCCAACUACGGGCCAGCAGGCGCGGUAUCACGCAGGGGGCACGCGUUAGCCGGAUUUACUGGGGGUAAAGGGAGCGUAGACGGCUGUGCAAGCCAGAUGUGAAAGCCCGGGGCUCAACCCCGGGACUGGAUUUGGAACUGUGUGGCUGGAGUGUCGGAGAGGCAGGCGGAAUUCCUGGUGUAGCGGUGAAAUGCGUAGAUAUUAGGAGGAACACCAGUGGCGAAGGCGGCCUGCUGGACGAUGACUGACGUUGAGGCUCGAAAGCGUGGGGAGCAAACAGGAUUAGAUACCCUAGUAGUC